CUACGGGAGGCAGCAGUGGGGAAUAUUGGACAAUGGGCGAAAGCCUGAUCCAGCCAUGCCGCGUGAGUGAUGAAGGCCCUAGGGUUGUAAAGCUCUUUCGCACGCGACGAUAAUGACGGUAGCGUGAGAAGAAGCCCCGGCUAACUUCGUGCCAGCAGCCGCGGUAAUACGAAGGGGGCUAGCGUUGUUCGGAAUCACUGGGCGUAAAGCGCACGUAGGUGGAUUGUUAAGUCAGGGGUGAAAUCCCGAGGCUCAACCUCGGAACUGCCUCUGAUACUGGCAAUCUUUGAGUCCGGGAGAGGUGAGUGGAAUUCCGAGUGUAGAGGUGAAAUUCGUAGAUAUUCGGAAGAACACCAGUGGCGAAGGCGGCUCACUGGCCCGGUACUGACGCUGAGGUGCGAAAGCGUGGGGAGCAAACAGGAUUAGAAACCCCGGUAGUCC
RNAcentral lists this ribosomal RNA (441 nucleotides) under uncultured bacterium. RNAcentral describes it as "bacterial SSU rRNA". It matches the Rfam family "Bacterial small subunit ribosomal RNA", at positions 339 to 796 of the family's 1533-position model. The record is from RNAcentral.